This 497-nucleotide ribosomal RNA is filed under the name uncultured bacterium. RNAcentral's name for it is "partial 16S ribosomal RNA". It matches the Rfam family "Bacterial small subunit ribosomal RNA", at positions 28 to 507 of the family's 1533-position model. The record is from RNAcentral.
GAUGAACGCUGGCGGCGUGCCUAAUACAUGCAAGUCGAGCGAACGGACGAGAAGCUUGCUUCUCUGAUGUUAGCGGCGGACGGGUGAGUAACACGUGGAUAACCUACCUAUAAGACUGGGAUAACUUCGGGAAACCGGAGCUAAUACCGGAUAAUAUUUUGAACCGCAUGGUUCAAAAGUGAAAGACGGUCUUGCUGUCACUUAUAGAUGGAUCCGCGCUGCAUUAGCUAGUUGGUAAGGUAACGGCUUACCAAGGCAACGAUGCAUAGCCGACCUGAGAGGGUGGUGGGCGACACUGGAACGGAGACCCGGACCAGGCGACGACGGGAGGCAACAGUAGGGAAUGUUAGGUAAUGGGCGAAAGCGUGACGGAGAAGCGCCAAGUGGGUGAAGAAAGUCUUGGGAGCGUAAAAACCUGUUAUUAGGGAAGAACAUAUGUGCAAGUAACUGUGCACAUCUUGACGGUACCUAAUAAGAAAGCCACGGCUAACUACGUG